Molecule: ribosomal RNA, 301 nt
Filed under: uncultured bacterium
Lineage: Bacteria
Description: partial 16S ribosomal RNA
Rfam family: Bacterial small subunit ribosomal RNA
Source: RNAcentral
CAGUAGCCGCGGUAAUACAGAGGGUGCGAGCGUUAAUCGGAUUUACUGGGCGUAAAGCGUGCGUAGGCGGCUUCUUAAGUCGGAUGUGAAAUCCCUGAGCUUAACCUGGGAACUGCAUUUGAAACUGGCAGGCUAGAGUCUUGUAGAGGGGGGUAGAAUUCCAGGUGUAGCGGUGAAAUGCGUAGAGAUCUGGAGGAAUACCGGUGGCGAAGGCGGCCCCCUGGACAAAGACUGACGCUCAGGUGCGAAAGCGUGGGGAGCAAACAGGAUUAGAUACCCGCGUAGUCCCUGUCUCUUAUAC